GACGAACGCUGGCGGCGUGCCUAAUACAUGCAAGUAGAACGCUGAAGAGAGGAGCUUGCUCUUCUUGGAUGAGUUGCGAACGGGUGAGUAACGCGUAGGUAACCUGCCUUGUAGCGGGGGAUAACUAUUGGAAACGAUAGCUAAUACCGCAUAACAAUGGAUGACCCAUGUCAUUUAUUUGAAAGGGGCAAAUGCUCCACUACAAGAUGGACCUGCGUUGUAUUAGCUAGUAGGUGAGGUAACGGCUCACCUAGGCGACGAUACAUAGCCGACCUGAGAGGGUGAUCGGCCACACUGGGACUGAGACACGGCCCAGACUCCUACGGGAGGCAGCAGUAGGGAAUCUUCGGCAAUGGGGGCAACCCUGACCGAGCAACGCCGCGUGAGUGAAGAAGGUUUUCGGAUCGUAAAGCUCUGUUGUAAGUCAAGAACGAGUGUGAGAGUGGAAAGUUCACACUGUGACGGUAGCUUACCAGAAAGGGACGGCUAACUACGUGCCAGCAGCCGCGGUAAUACGUAGGUCCCGAGCGUUGUCCGGAUUUAUUGGGCGUAAAGCGAGCGCAGGCGGUUUGAUAAGUCUGAAGUUAAAGGCUGUGGCUCAACCAUAGUUCGCUUUGGAAACUGUCAAACUUGAGUGCAGAAGGGGAGAGUGGAGUUCCACGUGUAGCGGUGAAAUGCGUAGAUAUAUGGAGGAACACCGGUGGCGAAAGCGGCUCUCUGGUCUGUAACUGACGCUGAGGCUCGAAAGCGUGGGGAGCGAACAGGAUUAGAUACCCUGGUAGUCCACGCCGUAAACGAUGAGUGCUAGGUGUUGGAUCCUUUCCGGGAUUCAGUGCCGCAGCUAACGCAUUAAGCACUCCGCCUGGGGAGUACGACCGCAAGGUUGAAACUCAAAGGAAUUGACGGGGGCCCGCACAAGCGGUGGAGCAUGUGGUUUAAUUCGAAGCAACGCGAAGAACCUUACCAGGUCUUGACAUCCCGAUGCUAUUUCUAGAGAUAGAAAGUUACUUCGGUACAUCGGUGACAGGUGGUGCAUGGUUGUCGUCAGCUCGUGUCGUGAGAUGUUGGGUUAAGUCCCGCAACGAGCGCAACCCCUAUUGUUAGUUGCCAUCAUUCAGUUGGGCACUCUAGCGAGACUGCCGGUAAUAAACCGGAGGAAGGUGGGGAUGACGUCAAAUCAUCAUGCCCCUUAUGACCUGGGCUACACACGUGCUACAAUGGUUGGUACAACGAGUUGCGAGUCGGUGACGGCAAGCUAAUCUCUUAAAGCCAAUCUCAGUUCGGAUUGUAGGCUGCAACUCGCCUACAUGAAGUCGGAAUCGCUAGUAAUCGCGGAUCAGCACGCCGCGGUGAAUACGUUCCCGGGCCU
Molecule: ribosomal RNA, 1369 nt
Filed under: uncultured bacterium
Lineage: Bacteria
Description: bacterial SSU rRNA
Rfam family: Bacterial small subunit ribosomal RNA
Source: RNAcentral